CCUACGGGGGGCAGCAGUGAGGAAUAUUGGUCAAUGGCCGGAAGGCUGAACCAGCCAUGCCGCGUGAAGGUCAGUGCCCUAUGGGCGUUAAACUUCUUUUGUGCGGGAGCAAUAAUGGUCACGUGUGGCCAGACGAGAGUACCGUACGAAUAAGCAUCGGCUAACUCCGUGCCAGCAGCCGCGGUAAUACGGGGGAUGCAAGCGUUAUCCGGAUUUAUUGGGUUUAAAGGGUGCGUAGGCUGUGAGGUAAGUCAGCGGUGAAAUGCCCCCGCUCAACGGGGUGAAGUGCCAUUGAUACUGGCUGGCUGGAAUGCGGAUGCGGUGGGAGGAAUGUGUGGUGUAGCGGUGAAAUGCAUAGAUAUCACACAGAACACCGAUUGCGAAGGCAUCUCACGAAUCCGCGAUUGACGCUGAUGCACGAAAGCGUGGGUAUCAAACAGGAUUAGAUACCCUUGUAGUC
Molecule: ribosomal RNA, 460 nt
Filed under: uncultured bacterium
Lineage: Bacteria
Description: partial 16S ribosomal RNA
Rfam family: Bacterial small subunit ribosomal RNA
Source: RNAcentral